Molecule: long non-coding RNA, 1176 nt
Filed under: Chrysemys picta bellii (western painted turtle)
Lineage: Eukaryota; Metazoa; Chordata; Testudines; Emydidae
Description: lncRNA (ENSCPBG00000028257.1)
Source: RNAcentral
GAGCCAGGAGCUCAAGAGUCUCUCUCUGAGUGCAGAGAGAGAAGGGCCUGACUGCAGGGAGCUAGACAGGAUACCUGAGUGGAGCAGGGCUGGGGAAAGGCUGGGGAGCUCCAGCCUGGAUAGCCCCAGGCUGUGGCCUGGUAAUAGGUCAAGGGGUACUGAGGGUUGCAGAGGGCAGCCCAGGGCUAGGCCAAGGCAGCAGGUCUGAACCCAACCUUGCCGAUGAUGAGUGGCCUAUACUGCAGUCUGCCCCAGAGAGUGGGGGCUAGCUGGUGACUGGCAGUGGCCUUAUCCUGAGGUGAGGUGGGCUUAGUGGGUGGGGGUUCCCCUGGGAGGGGAGACCUAGCGUGUGUGGAUACUGCCAGGGGGCAGCACCCAGAGCAAGGGGCACCGGGGUCCUGGGAGGGACAUGGGAGCCUGAGUGCAGAGGACAGGCGGAUCACUGGCCUGCAGAGGGCGCUCCAGAGGCUGGAGAACUAAUUCCCUGGACGACCAGCAGGAGGCGCCGCAGGGGUGAGUCUUACACUUGUACAUUGGACAUAGUCCAGAACCUAAAAGAAUGCUGAAUUAGAUAUUCUACAAGUUUUUAAUUUUAAUAUUCUGUCAGAAGCAAUUGACUUUACCCAUUUUCUCUCUUCUCCAAAACAUCCAGAAGCAUUUCCUUUAUGGUUUUUACAGCAACAUGUUAGGUGCAAGUCAAAGAUUCAGUGAAGUUUUAUUUCCUGUUGGCUGUUUCCUUUCUUUCCUGUUUCCAAAGUCACUUUGCUUUUAAUUUAUGAUUUCUAGCAGCCUGACGAGAGUACAAGAUAUGGGCUGCAGUUUUUAGGACCCGUGGGGGCUGAGCUUUUGGUACUUUCUGGUAGAAGCUGAAGCAGGUUACUGUGGAUGAGAAGCUGACAACAAAUUGGAGAAGGCAAAGAAGUUGCAUGCAGAGGCAUGUGUCCUCAAGUGAAUACAAAAUGGAGUGACAAAUGCUUUUGUCCAUAUCUUACUAAGGCCAACUUCCCCAUUCAUCAAAAGAAAGCCUUUAAGGUACAGGUUCCUGGCCUUGUUAUCAGGGUCUAUCACCUGAGGAAGCAUUUCCUGUGCCCCACCCUCCAUCAGAAGUGUGGUAUAGGAAAGAAGAGGAGAGACAAAAGCUAUGUUGAAACAGUCUACCUACGGGGGAAUCUGUGA